UUCUCGCUUAAGCAGACAUAAUCUAAAAUAGGACGGAUACAGAGAAGACUAGCAUGGUCCAUGCUUAAGGCUGACACGCAAAUUGGUGAAGUGUUCUGUAUUUUA
Molecule: small nuclear RNA, 105 nt
Organism: Octodon degus (degu)
Lineage: Eukaryota; Metazoa; Chordata; Mammalia; Rodentia; Octodontidae
Source: Ensembl